Molecule: ribosomal RNA, 243 nt
Filed under: uncultured bacterium
Lineage: Bacteria
Description: partial 16S ribosomal RNA
Rfam family: Bacterial small subunit ribosomal RNA
Source: RNAcentral
UACGAAGGGGCUAGCGUUGCUCGGAAUCACUGGCGUAAAGGCGCGUAGGCGGCGUUUUAAGUCGGGUGAAUCCUGGAGCUCAACUCCAGAACUGCCUUGAUACUGAAGAUCUUGAGUCCGGGAGAGGUGAGUGGAACUGCGAGUGUAGAGGUGAAAUUCGUAGAUAUUCGCAAGAACACCAGUGGCGAAGGCGGCUCACUGGCCGGUACUGACGCUGAGGCACGAAGCGUGAGGAGCAACAGG